This 437-nucleotide ribosomal RNA is filed under the name uncultured bacterium. RNAcentral's name for it is "partial 16S ribosomal RNA". It matches the Rfam family "Bacterial small subunit ribosomal RNA", at positions 28 to 507 of the family's 1533-position model. The record is from RNAcentral.
GAUGAACGCUGGCGGCAUGCUUUACACAUGCAAGUCGGACGGGAAGUGGUGUUUCCCGUGGCGGGCGGGUGAGUAACGCGUAAGAACCUGCCCUUGGGAGGGGAACAACAGCUGGAAACGGCUGCUAAUACCCCGUAGGCUGAGGAGCGAAAGGAGGAAUCCGCCCAAGGAGGGGCUCGCGUCUGAUUAGCUAGUUGGUGAGGUAAUAGCUUACCAAGGCCGUGAUCAGUAGCUGGUCCGAGAGGAUGAUCAGCCACACUGGGACUGAGACAAGGCCCAGACUCCUACGGGAGGCAGCAGUGGGGAAUGUGCCGCAAUGGGCGAAAGCCUGACGGAGCAAUGCCGCGUGGAGGUAAAAGGCCUACGGGUCAUGAACUUCUUUUCCUGGAGAAGAAACAAUGACGGUAGCUGGGGAAUAAGCAUCGGCUAACUCGGUG